This is a non-coding RNA of Podarcis lilfordi (Lilford's wall lizard), 74 nucleotides long. The record is from the annotation of a GenBank genome assembly. NCBI's taxonomy places the organism in Eukaryota, Metazoa, Chordata, Lepidosauria, Squamata, Lacertidae.
UCCUCAAUAGCUCAGUCGGUGGGACAUGAGACUCACAACCUCAGAAUUGUGGGUUUGAGCCCCACGUUGGGCAA